RNAcentral lists this ribosomal RNA (251 nucleotides) under uncultured bacterium. RNAcentral's name for it is "partial 16S ribosomal RNA". It matches the Rfam family "Bacterial small subunit ribosomal RNA", at positions 525 to 775 of the family's 1533-position model. The record is from RNAcentral.
ACGUAUGGAGCAAGCGUUAUCCGGAUUUACUGGGUGUAAAGGGAGCGUAGGCGGUCCUGCAAGUCUGAUGUGAAAACCCGGGGCUCAACCCCGGGACUGCAUUGGAAACUGUAGGACUAGAGUGUCGGAGGGGUAAGUGGAAUUCCUAGUGUAGCGGUGAAAUGCGUAGAUAUUAGGAGGAACAUCAGUGGCGAAGGCGGCUUACUGGACGACCACUGACGCUGAGGCUCGAAAGCGUGGGGAGCAAACAG